UCAUGUGUCUUCUCAGUCAUGUUGACACUGGUCUACUACCAGGUCAUGUGUCUUCUCAGUCAUGUUGACACUGGUCUACUACCACGUCAUGUGUCUUCUCAGUCAUGUUGACACUGGUCUACUACCAGGUCAUGUGUCUUCUCAGUCAUGUUGACACUGGUCUACUACCAGGUCAAUGUGUCUUCUCAGUCAUGUUGACACUGGUCUACUACCAGGUCAUGUGUCUUCUCAGUCAUGUUGACACUGGUCUACUACCAGGUCAUGUGUCUUCUCAGUCAUGUUGACACUGGUCUACUACCAGGUCAUGUGUCUUCUCAGUCAUGUUGACACUGGUCUACUACCAGGUCAUGUGUCUUCUCAGUCAUGUUGACACUGGUCUACUACCAGGUCAUGUGUCUUCUCAGUCAUGUUGACACUGGUCUUCUACCAGGUCAUGUGUCUUCUCAGUCAUGUUGACACUGGUCUACUACCAGGUCAUGUGUCUUCUCAGUCAUGUUGACACUGGUCUACUACCAGGUCAUGUGUCUUCUCAGUCAUGUUGACACUGGUCUACUACCAGGUCAUGUGUCUUCUCAGUCAUGUUGACACUGGUCUACUACCGGGUCAUGUGUCUUCUCAGUCAUGUUGACACUGGUCUACUACCGGGUCAUGUGUCUUCUCAGUCAUGUUGACACUGGUCUUCUACCAGGUCAUGUGUCUUCUCAGUCAUGUUGACACUGGUCUACUACCACGUCAU
Oncorhynchus keta (chum salmon) is the source of this 736-nucleotide long non-coding RNA. RefSeq lists it as uncharacterized. The record is from RefSeq and is a predicted model, not a curated record. Lineage: Eukaryota; Metazoa; Chordata; Actinopteri; Salmoniformes; Salmonidae. The transcript is spliced from 3 exons.